GACGAACGCUGGCGGCGUGCUUAACACAUGCAAGUCGAACGGAAAGGCCCCUUUGGGGGUACUCGAGUGGCGAACGGGUGAGUAACACGUGAGUAACCUGCCCUUGACUUCGGGAUAACUUCAGGAAACUGGGGCUAAUACCGGAUAGGAAUCCUUGCUGCAUGGUUGGGGUUGGAAAGCUUCGGCGGUUUUGGAUGGAUUCGCGGCUUAUCAGCUUGUUGGUGGGGUAGUGGCUUACCAAGGCUUUGACGGGUAGCCGGCCUGGGAGGGCGACCGGCCACAUUGGGACUGAGGAACGGCCCAGACUCCUACGGGGGGCAGCAGUGGGGAAUAUUGCACAAUGGGCGGAAGCCUGAUGCAGCAACGCCGCGUGCGGGAUGACGGCCUUCGGGUUGGAAACCGCUUUCAGCAGGGGCGAAGCUUGUGGUGACGGUACCUGCAGAAGAAGCACCGGCUAACUACGUG
RNAcentral lists this ribosomal RNA (465 nucleotides) under uncultured bacterium. RNAcentral describes it as "partial 16S ribosomal RNA". It matches the Rfam family "Bacterial small subunit ribosomal RNA", at positions 28 to 507 of the family's 1533-position model. The record is from RNAcentral.